AUCCCAUGGUAAGGACACUUCCUAAGCAUCUCCUUGAAUCGUUCCCAUGCUUCCUACAAGGAUUCCCUCUCAAAUUGAGCAAAUGUAGUAAUAUCAUUUAUUAAUUAU
Molecule: non-coding RNA, 108 nt
Organism: Nelumbo nucifera (sacred lotus)
Lineage: Eukaryota; Viridiplantae; Streptophyta; Magnoliopsida; Proteales; Nelumbonaceae
Source: Rfam